Molecule: long non-coding RNA, 580 nt
Organism: Brienomyrus brachyistius
Lineage: Eukaryota; Metazoa; Chordata; Actinopteri; Osteoglossiformes; Mormyridae
Exons: 3
Source: RefSeq, a predicted model, not a curated record
AGCAGUUUAUUCUAAACAGUGGAAGCACAAAAAUGUUCAGACUCUUUGGUCUUCUCAUUUUCAUUAACACUGCACUGACUACAGAUGUUGUUCAGCCCAGUCACCUGAUGAGGGUUCAGCUUGGAGACAGUGUGACCCUGACAUGCUUCUGUCAAGGAGAAACAACUUUUGUUACUUUGUUUAAGCAAGCUGUUGGUCGGAAGCCCCAGCCCAUGGCGAAAGCACUUCUCUACGUACCUGGUGAAUUUUACAAGGAAUAUAAAAGCAUAAAACGUUACUCCUUACUGAAUGCAGAGGGGAGUUUUAACCUCACUAUUUCUAACGUGGAGCCGUCAGAUUCUGCAGUGUAUUAUUGUGCUGCUGUGUUUCUUCAUGAGGUCACCUUCGGGAAUGGAACCUUUGUCAUAAUCACAGGUAAAGACUCCAACAGCAGGACUGUGGUACAGCAGCCUGUGUCUGACACAUUGCAGCCAGGAGACUCUGUGAGCCUGCAGUGUACGAUAGAGACUGGGAGCUGUGCAGGAGAACACAGUGUUUACUGGUUCAGACAUGGAUCAGGAGAAUCCCUUCCUGGAGUCAU